Molecule: ribosomal RNA, 459 nt
Filed under: Hoffmannius sp. AVDM-2012
Lineage: Eukaryota; Metazoa; Arthropoda; Arachnida; Scorpiones; Vaejovidae
Description: partial 12S ribosomal RNA
Source: RNAcentral
GUUAUACUAUUGAGGCAAACAUAUUAUUUUGUAUAAUAUUAAAUUAUUUUAUUUUGAAAAAUAAAAAUAUUUUUUAGGUGAAAUUUAAAAUUUUUUAAAAUUCUAAAUAUAAUUUUUUAAAAAUUUUUUUGAAAACUAGGAUUAGAUACCCUAUUAUUAAAACUUAUAAAAUUAGGUAGUAAAGAAAUUUCUGAAACCUAAAGAAUUUGGCGGUAUUUUAAAUAAUUGGAGGAACCUGUUAUUUAAUUGACAAUCCACAACAUAUCUUACCUAGAUUUUAUUUGUAUAUCGUCGUUUUGAUAAUAUUUAAAAAUAAUAAUCAAUUUUAAUAAAUUUUUUAAAUUCAGAUCAAGAUGCAGUAUAUUUAGGUUAUAAUGGGUUACAAUAUACUUAUAUAUAAUGAAUGUAAAAUUGAAAAUAUAUUGAAGGUGGAUUCAAAAGUAAAAUUAAAUAAAAAGU